This is a long non-coding RNA of Gallus gallus (chicken), 3376 nucleotides long. RefSeq lists it as uncharacterized. Lineage: Eukaryota; Metazoa; Chordata; Aves; Galliformes; Phasianidae. The transcript is spliced from 8 exons. The record is from RefSeq and is a predicted model, not a curated record.
UCUAUACAGCAAUAGAAAGCUCUUGAGAAAUACAGAAUUUCAGUAAUGGGCAAUAGUAUAAGGGUCAGCAUGGCCUGUGGAUUCUGAGUAAACCUGAAUUUCAAGCAACUUUUUUUUUUUCUCCCCUUUUUUUUUUUGCAGUAACCUGCUGAGCUGAAAAGGAAAAGGAGGAUACCGAACAGCAAGGACUUCUCUCUGGAGAGCAGCUAAGUUCUAAAUCAAUCCAAUGGUGUUCUUGAAAUAUCAGUGAAUGUUUCCAAGCAUUAUAUUAAAAUUUCAUGAUCAGUAGUGCUGAAAGCUGCCCUGCACACAAGCUGAAAUAAGUGCUGACAAUUCACUAGUAUAUGAAUUUAAUAAAAUGUUGUUCACCAGUGUUAGCUGCAAUGCACUGUCCGGAUUAUCCUCUUGAUUAGAAAUUACCUGUCAAAACAGUCCCUUUUUGUUAGGUGAGUGUAGAUCAGAGACAGUAUUGCUUGCCCUCUUGUGUAUUAACUGCCAGAAAUAGGUGGCUGCUUAUCCAAACUUAAUCUAGCUGCUAAAGAAUGUAGUCUUUUUCCUUUCUGUAAGCAUAUUAUGAUCUGCAUCAAAGGAAUGCCUGCAGGCCCAGCUGAGUUCAGGACUCCACAAAUCCAGUCAGAUGCAGUUCCUGCCCCAAAGACUUAAACUGUAAAUAGAGAAGAGCCAAGCAUGUCAGACACUUUCAAAUCCUAAAUACAUAUAAGGGAUUUUGAAAGCAACUUCUUUUCCAUGUCUUACAACUACUUGGCUGUCUGUGUGAUGCUACAGGAUGGUCUUACUAGCUUUUGUUGAAGCUCUUCCAUUUGUGAAUGAUUCAGCAUUCAACAGAGGGCAGGAUUCUUUGGGGAUGGGAUCUUUCCUGGGGGAUGAGUUGAUGGUGAGGCACUAGAACAGUCUGUCUAGAGAAGCUUUGGAUCUCCCAUAUCUGGAGAUGUUCAAGGCCAGGUUGGUUGGGGCCCUAGGCAGCCUGAUCCAAGGGGUGGCACUCCUGCCCAAAGCAAGGAGGUUUGGAACUUUAAGAUCCCUUCCAAUCCAAGCCAUUCUACAAUGUGUAAUUCUCCUUGCUCCAGGAAUUGCUUCCAGGAAUGUAAAUAUACUAUUUGUUUUAGUUGAUAAUUGGGUGCAUGUUAUGGAACAACUUCAGGAACAAUGAAUGAGAGCCUUCUCUCACAUCCCCUCAUCUUGGGGUGUCCUCUCCUAGGUUGUGGGAAAACUGGAUUUACAUCACUGCUUAAUCUUAAAAUAACAAAUGAAAAAUUAGGGGACAGAUGGGGCAUACCAACACUUCUGUCUUCAUAAAUGUAACGCUCUUGUCUUCUCUGAGGCAUUUCAUAUUUAAUGCUAUGUAAGAGGCUUUCAGUAAUUCUGCAGCCGCUGGAAAUUUCUGAAUGGUAUUGCCUUGAGGAGACCUCAGGGUCAUGCACUACUUUGCAAGCUGGCUAUCCAGAAUUGCUUGCUCUGGAAAAUCCUGGAUGUGUCUCAUAACUGUGUCAGAGGAACAAAGGACAAAGCCAUCGACCUGGAGCACAUCACUAAACAGGAGCUGAAUUACUGCUUUCUGUUAGACACCGAAUGAUUGUCACUGGGACUACAUCCAGCUACCUGUGAGGGAUCUCCAGGAAGCCUGACACAGGAACUUUUGCAUUAGUGAAAAUGAAGUGCUCUGUUGAAGGCAUUACUUUCAGGAGACUGAAGGGAAAGGAGGGAUUCAAUGUCAUUUCACUUCCUGAAGCACAGUCUGGAGAGCGCACCUGAAGAACUGCAAGUGUUAGAUGCUCCCACAGAGCAAAGGCAUACGCCACUGGAAAAGCCCUCCUCGUGCUGACAAGCAGAUAAAAAUUUUCUAGAUGCCUCAGUUCUGGCCUGUGGAAUAAGACAACAGGGAAGGAUACAAGAAAGAAUGAAGCAGCAGCACAGGUACCACAAUCACUGAAUUAUUGUUCUAGCAAAUUUCUGCAUGAGAAACUGCCAUACUUCCAGGCUGCUCUGACUGCUCUCCCAGAAGUCACAAACUUUGUACAACUGCACAGAGAAGAACUGAAAAGAUGACAAGAAUUGAGUAAUUCUCUGUGUUUCUGAAUUAAACGCUUUUUAACCCCUCCAGCAGCAAGAAAACUCACGAUUGUAUUCUCUGUCUUCUUCCUUCUUGACUGUUAACAGAUCACAAGGCACUACAAAUUAUUACAACUUUCUUCCUCACCUUUCAUAGAAUCACUAUGGUUAGAAAAGACCUCUAAGAUCGUCCAGACCAACCACCAACCCAUCCCCACCAUGCUCCUCAAUGCUGCAUCCGCACGGUUCUUGUACACCCCCAAGGACGGUGACUCCACCACCCCCCUGGGCAGCCUGUGCCACUGCAUCACCACUCUGCCUGAGAAGUUUUUCCUAAUACUCAACCUGAACCUCCCCCUUUCACAGCUGGACCAGAAAUUUUCCAGCAGACAGCUCACACUGAAAGUUAAAUACACAAGAAUAUCCAAAUUAACAGAGACACUUGCAAUAAAGAUCUUAUUAAGAUGUCAACAUUGUUUACGGAUUACGGAACAACUUAGAGAACCUCAAGAACUUUGUACUCCCUCUUUCUGAUCAGUGCUUGGUUGUUGCUUGGGGGAUGCAGGGAAUACACGUUUAAGACCUGCAAACUUAGAGACAACUGUUAGUGCCUAAAGAACUGAAGUCACUGAUGGCUAGACCACAGCAAGAAGGAAGCAGUGACGUGAACUGAGAGGAAUUCAGGACUCACAGACAGAUGGAGCUGUUUCCCACCUGUAGGGCUAAAUCUGGCAUAGACGACAGCCCGCAUUGAGCUGGCACUGAGCUGAGCUCCUGCCUGGUUGUGGGAAUACCCUGCUUUCAGUCUUGGGUGAAGCUGAUCUGUGAGUCCAGUCCUGGAAGUUAAGAGGUCUCUUACGCCCCACAGUGUGAAAGAAUUGGUGGGUACAUGGGUAGGAGUGGCUUCCCUGGGUAGUCAAAGCAGCCAGCUCAAAAAAACUGAGCAAUCAUGCCGAUAAACAAAAUAGAUCACUGGUUAAAAUAAAUAAUAGAAAAAAAAAAAAGAAGCAGGAAUAAAUGGAGAAGGUUACUGCUAGUGUUCCUCUAAAGCAGAUUUGGGGCAACCUGUUGAGAUAAUUUACUGAUAAGGUGUCAUGCAUAACAAGGUAACGGUUUGUCUACAUUCCCACAUUACUCAAGGUUUUAAAGUGGAAGUUCACUGUGAAUAGCUGCAGAAAGAUCUGCCAGAAACUGCCAGAUAAAAUGGAAGAUAAAGUUCAAGGUCAAUAAAUGCAAAACAAAUCAUAGAUAAAAAUGGCAGUAAUUGUGCACGCUCAGUGGUACACUAAAUUAGAUAAACUUUCCU